RNAcentral lists this microRNA precursor (91 nucleotides) under Pelodiscus sinensis (Chinese soft-shelled turtle). Its description in RNAcentral is "miRNA (ENSPSIG00000019649.1)". The record is from RNAcentral. Lineage: Eukaryota; Metazoa; Chordata; Testudines; Trionychidae.
UUCAUAUAUGUGUGUGUGUGUGUGUGUGUGUGUCUGUGUGUGUGUGUGUAUACACACACACAUGCACACACACACACACACACACAGACAC